RNAcentral lists this ribosomal RNA (508 nucleotides) under uncultured bacterium. RNAcentral's name for it is "partial 16S ribosomal RNA". It matches the Rfam family "Bacterial small subunit ribosomal RNA", at positions 30 to 507 of the family's 1533-position model. The record is from RNAcentral.
CGAACGCUGGCGGCGUGCUUAACACAUGCAAGUCGAACGAAGAGCGAUGGAAGCUUGCUUCUAUCAAUCUUAGUGGCGAACGGGUGAGUAACGCGUAAUCAACCUGCCCUUCAGAGGGGGACAACAGUUGGAAACGACUGCUAAUACCGCAUACGAUCUAAUCUCGGCAUCGAGGAUAGAUGAAAGGUGGCCUCUACAUGUAAGCUAUCACUGAAGGAGGGGAUUGCGUCUGAUUAGCUAGUUGGAGGGGUAACGGCCCACCAAGGCGAUGAUCAGUAGCCGGUCUGAGAGGAUGAACGGCCACAUUGGGACUGAGACACGGCCCAGACUCCUACGGGAGGCAGCAGUGGGGAAUCUUCCGCAAUGGACGAAAGUCUGACGGAGCAACGCCGCGUGAGUGAUGACGGCCUUCGGGUUGUAAAGCUCUGUUAAUCGGGACGAAAGGCCUUCUUGCGAACAGUUAGAAGGAUUGACGGUACCGGAAUAGAAAGCCACGGCUAACUACGUG